UUCAUCGAUAACUUACCACAUGGCCUAGAAUGAUUCUGCAACUGUACAAAUGGAGUUACUAAAUAUGAUAAAUACUCCAUAGAAUGAAAUAUUGACACUGCUAUGACUGAACAAAUUCAACGACGCAAAAAUGAAAACUUGUGUCUAUUCUUUUGAGAAGUUCAUUGUGAAAUAACCAGUAACAGUAAACCGUAACAAGUUGCAGGAGAAGGAAGAGAAGAAAUGGGAAAACUCCCCACGACUAAAAGCAAGAACUUCGAAUAUUCACAGGAUUAUGAGAAUGAUAUUUAUCCACCCCAAAGAAGUUUGAAACAGAAGACGUAAAUUUCAUUCCGAAAUGCCAGAAUAGGGGACAAGAAUAUUGAAGACUGCAAUUAAUACCAAGGUCCAUGUAUUAGCCAUGAAUGUUCGGACUUGUCAGAGAAGCCUGUUCGGGAAAAAAUAAAAUUAAGAUAUUGAACCUGCUAAUUGAUUGGCGAUGAACAGGAUGAGUUGCGGAGGUGUUCAACCUUUUUUUACCCGAUUGCCACACCUCAUUUUAAGAGGAAUCUCCCGAGCCAGAACACAUAUGAAAUUUAAAUGUACUUAAAUUCUUGCUUCUAGAUAUCAUGAAAUAAACAUGGAGUAUGAAGGAAAAUUACAAACCAAGAAUUGGUUUUAUCAAUUACUGCAUACUUAUUUUAUCGAUCCGAUUUAAACGAGGAGGCACUUCACCCCGUCUUCUCAGUUCCAUUUUACGCGAUGGUGAUUGGUAAACGUAUCCUUCUGCUUGUAAAUUGGACAACCAGACAACCUUAACUUUGGCGUGCAUUUUAAUGUGCAAAAUAAAACUUAGUAUCCUUUACAUUACUUGCUUCACAUUGUUGAUACUUUCGUUAUUCUUACAUUUUAAAAACUGGUGCUUUUACGGAAAAAUGCCAUGUUCCGAGUAUGCCUUCCGCCGAAAACAGCGAAAUAGAAUCAUCGGAUACCACGUGACGAAAGCGGAGUCACGUGCCUUCUCGUGGAAAACGAACAAUAUCUGUUUUCUAGAAAAUAAUUUCUGAGUAUUUUGCAUCAAAUUUGCAAC
Uloborus diversus is the source of this 1069-nucleotide long non-coding RNA. RefSeq lists it as uncharacterized. The record is from RefSeq and is a predicted model, not a curated record. The transcript is spliced from 6 exons. NCBI's taxonomy places the organism in Eukaryota, Metazoa, Arthropoda, Arachnida, Araneae, Uloboridae.